Long non-coding RNA from Brassica napus (rape), 1199 nucleotides. RefSeq lists it as uncharacterized. The transcript has 2 exons. The record is from RefSeq and is a predicted model, not a curated record. Lineage: Eukaryota; Viridiplantae; Streptophyta; Magnoliopsida; Brassicales; Brassicaceae.
AAAUAUGUUUUUUAUAAAUUUGGUGUGAUGAAUAGUAUUACACCAAAUUUGAUAUAAUACUAUUCAUAUUACACCAAAUUUGGUGAGAUGAUAUCAAUUUUGAUGUUUUGUUGGAGAUUAAAUUACACCAAAUUUAGUGUUUUGGUAUUUUGUCGGAGAUGGCCUGAGACCAUUCAUUUCCCCCAGCUAGUUUUACAAAACCAAAAAUCUUAAGUGAUAAGGUAAAAUUUACAGUUAGACAUACUUUAUCUCUACCCUAUAUCACUCUAACAUACUUUUUCCAUGUCAAAUAUUUUCUUAUGUGCUAUUGUCUUAUUUACCUCCAAAACCAGAAAUCAAUUAGUUACAUUUUUCUUUUGUUUACCUUAAUCGUGAACCAGCUACUCUUUCUCUUAUCUCAAUAUCUAAAAGUCAAGUAGUUAUCUUUUUCUCUUCCAGUUUGACGAUUUCUUCUUCAUUCUCACCGCCGAAGAACAAAAAUCAUGGUGACUCCACGGUGUAUUCUCCUACAAGGAAAGAUAUGACAAAUCUUAACUACUUUACCCUAUUUUAUAGAUUGAUCUAGAUCCCCUUCUUUUUUUGCUGUUAUAGCGAAAUAGCAAAAGCCCCUGUCUCCUUCGAUUCGACGAAAACACAAUCCGCCGUCAAUUUCUCACCGGCAUUAAUUUCAAUUGCCGUUAGUUUCUCAAAACCACAACGAAUGAAACCUCCAACAGAGAGUCACCUCUUCACAUUCUCCAACAGAGAGUCACCCCAACCAUGUCUCCCCCAACCACGCCUCGACCAUCCACUACUUUCCCAACCACAUUUCACACAGCCACACUUCACCCACACGCCUACUCCUGUUUCAACUCUUCACCCAACCACAUGUUUUCUGUCCACACUACCAUCAACCAUACUUCAUCCCACCACGAUCCACCAGACCACCUUCCAACGCACCAAGCUCCACCAGCCAAAAUAAUACCAAUCCAGCCUUACCACACGUUUCAUGAACAUUGUUUUUCCACAACAAGGAAAGAGAUGAAACCUUAGCAAUGACUACACAUUUAUGUCUUUUCUUUUUAGUAGAUUUGUACUUGCUUUAACAUUAGUCAUCCGAUUUGUUUUUACAUUCUUUAAUCUAACGGUCCAAAAAAAAAAUCUCAUUGUUGAAUAAAUCUACCAAUUAAUUGUAACAGAAAGAGACAAACUAUUAUUUA